RNAcentral lists this microRNA (22 nucleotides) under Oreochromis niloticus (Nile tilapia). RNAcentral's name for it is "oni-miR-10650". The record is from miRBase by way of RNAcentral. Lineage: Eukaryota; Metazoa; Chordata; Actinopteri; Cichliformes; Cichlidae.
ACCCCAUGAUGAAUCUCUGAAG